Molecule: long non-coding RNA, 553 nt
Filed under: Marmota monax (woodchuck)
Lineage: Eukaryota; Metazoa; Chordata; Mammalia; Rodentia; Sciuridae
Source: RNAcentral
GGGGCCAUGAGCAUGUGGGCAGGCCAGGAGUCCUUGCAACUCCUUGGACAGGACCUUACCUGCGAUGAAUACCGAGGCUUCACUCUCGGCGCCCUUGGCUCGGAAUGUAUACUUGCCCUCAUGCUCCGGGCCCAUGUUGGGGAAGAUGAGCUUGUGCACUGCACCCUGCUUCACGAUUUGCACACCCGGCAAGUCAGUGAUCUAGGGGACAAGGGGUGGGAGUGAGUGAGAGCGUGGGCCAGGUAGAUCUCCUUCGCCCCUUCCCUGACUCCUGCCUCCAACCUCCUUGCCAUCCUUCAGCCACACGCCUUCCACCUUCUCGUCAUUCAGCACUACGCACAGUUCUGCUGGGCUCCCGGUGGCAGCAUGAACGUCGGACAUCCCGCUCUUCACUGUGGCCAGGCGCUCUGGGAAGAAAGGGUCUGGACUGACUCAGGGGGAAGGAAUUCAUGGGAAAAUGGCUGAUGGUAUUGUAGUGGGAGCAGUUAGGGUUUAGGUGUCUUUCAAAAUCAUUUAUGAUGAACAGAUGGGUUGGCCUUGGUCUGUAGAUUGC